UGCUAAGCGGGGUGCCGCGUAUGGGAAGUUCGCAGAGUGGCUCACGGCUCGUUCAAGUACCUAUUGAACAUAGUCCAAGUACCCAUAGAGGGUGUAAGGCCCGUACGACGAGUCGUGAGUGUCUCCCGCGUUCUUCUCGAGAGUCGGGUUGCUUGAAAAUGCAGCCCUAAGAGGUGGUAAACUCCAUCUAAGGCUAAAUACUACCACGAGACCGAUAGCGAACAAGUACCGCGAGGGAAAGUUGAAAAGAACUUUGAAGAGAGAGUUCAAUAGAGCGUGAAACUGCCACGAGGUUAAAGCGGAUGGACAGUCGUGGCAGAACAGGGGGAUUCAGCUCCCCUAACGUCUGGAGGCCCUCGUGGACGUGACGACCGACUCUUCGGCUUCUCUCGGUACUCGUUACCAGGUUGCCGGGGAGGUUCCAAACUGGCGUCCGUUACGAGAGCGAGUCUCCGCGGUAACAAUAAGGGGGGCUGUACCUUUCACCUUAGUAAGCCGUCGCGGGCAUUGUGAGCGUUGUCGAUUACCCCUGAGUUCGGGAACCGACCCUUAAAGCCUCUCGUUCUUAUUAGCCUCCGGGCUGGUUUUAGCGGGUGUGUAAGUACGGGCCGGGGACUAUUCAGGGAAUACGACGGACCUCGCGAUGAUUCAGAUUGGAGACGGGUCGGUUGUGAAUUGAUCGGAGGUGGGACUUCGUUCGCGCUCCUCAGGGAGCCGGGCGUGUCCCACCUCAUUUUUUUUGACGUUCCGACCCGUACGCGGCGCAUAUUCGGCGCACGUCCAUCCGUCCCGUCUUGAAACACGGACCAAGGAGUCUAGCAAGGGCGCGAGUCAUAAGGGUUCACUAAACCUUAGAUGGCGCAACGAAAGUAAUGUAGAUACGGAUAUUACUUGUAGUAUCCGUAUCCAUGGGUUAAACUCAACUACCCCGUUGGACCGAUCCCCUCGGAAAUGCCUCGCCAGCCCCCGUCAAAAGGGGUUGUUAGCGAGGCCGCUGCCGAAUAAUGAGGGGCGCAGGUCCGGGGCCCGCCAUUAUUUUUUUAUCCUCUCUCUAUCUCGCAGUUCUUCUGCGUUGUAGAAGACGAAAGGCGGGUUCCAAGAGCGUUCGUGCUAGUACCCGAAAGAUGGUGAUCUAUGCCUGGCCAGGAUGAAGCCAGAGGAAACUCUGGUGGAGGUCCGUAGCGGUUCUGACGUGCAAAUCG
Molecule: ribosomal RNA, 1202 nt
Filed under: Stenosoma raquelae
Lineage: Eukaryota; Metazoa; Arthropoda; Malacostraca; Isopoda; Idoteidae
Description: eukaryotic LSU rRNA
Rfam family: Eukaryotic large subunit ribosomal RNA
Source: RNAcentral